This 136-nucleotide long non-coding RNA is filed under the name Pan troglodytes (chimpanzee). RNAcentral describes it as "lncRNA (ENSPTRG00000053882.1)". Lineage: Eukaryota; Metazoa; Chordata; Mammalia; Primates; Hominidae. The record is from RNAcentral.
GUGACAUAAUCCAGGGCUAAGGAUUGGAAGCAGGGAAAGAAGGAAGGAAGGAAGGAAGGAAGGAAGGUCUUCAUCACAACCACGUCAAUUUUAGGUGAGAAGAUAAAGACUCAGAGCAGCAAUGUGAUGCAAGCAG